GAUGAACGCUAGCGACAGGCCUAACACAUGCAAGUCGAGGGGCAACGGGGCGUAGCAAUACGCUGCCGGCGACCGGCGGAUGGGUGAGUAACGCGUAUGCAACCUGCCUUCAGCAGGGGGAUAGCCCGUUGAAAGACGGGUUAAUACCCCAUAACACAGGGGCUCCGCAUGGAGAUUAUUGUUAAAGGGAUGCUUCCUUCGGGGGUAUUCCGGCUGAAGAUGGGCAUGCGUUCCAUUAGGUAGUUGGUUGAGGUAACGGCUCACCAAGCCUGCGAUGGAUAGGGGAACUGAGAGGUUGGUCCCCCACACUGGUACUGGAGACACGGACCAGACUCCUACGGGAGGCAGCAGUGAGGAAUCUUGGUCAAUGGACGGAAGUCUGAACCAGCCAUGUCGCGUGAAGGAGGACGGCCCUAAGGGUUGUAAACUUCUUUUGCUAGCGGAAUAAAGUAUUCCACGUGAUGGGAUAUUGCAAGUACGCUGCGAAUAAGGAUCGGCUAACUCCGUG
Molecule: ribosomal RNA, 508 nt
Filed under: uncultured bacterium
Lineage: Bacteria
Description: bacterial SSU rRNA
Rfam family: Bacterial small subunit ribosomal RNA
Source: RNAcentral